CCGAGUUUACAACUCCCAAACCCCAAUGUGAACGUUACCAAACUGUUGCCCUCGGCGGGAUUUCUGCCCCGGGCGCGUCGCAGCCCCGGACCAAGGCGCCCGCCGGAGGACCAAACCUUACAAACUCUUUUUGUAUGUCCCUCUGCGGACUCUUUACAUUUCUGAGCUUUCUCGGCGCUCCUAGCGAGCGUUUCGAAAAUGAAUCA
Molecule: unclassified non-coding RNA, 206 nt
Filed under: soil metagenome
Description: partial internal transcribed spacer 1
Source: RNAcentral